GCUACGUGGGCAACAAAGGAACUG
Molecule: non-coding RNA, 24 nt
Filed under: Cricetulus griseus (Chinese hamster)
Lineage: Eukaryota; Metazoa; Chordata; Mammalia; Rodentia; Cricetidae
Source: RNAcentral